This 250-nucleotide ribosomal RNA is filed under the name uncultured bacterium. Its description in RNAcentral is "partial 16S ribosomal RNA". It matches the Rfam family "Bacterial small subunit ribosomal RNA", at positions 524 to 773 of the family's 1533-position model. The record is from RNAcentral.
UACGAAGGGGGCAAGCGUUGUUCGGAUUUACUGGGCGUAAAGGGCGCGUAGGCGGAUGCGUAAGUCAGAGGUGAAAGCCCUGGGCUCAACCCGGGAAUUGCCUUUGAGACUGCGUGUCUUGAGUAUGGGAGAGGGUGGCGGAAUACCCAGUGUAGAGGUGAAAUUCGUAGAUAUUGGGUAGAACACCAGUGGCGAAGGCGGCCACCUGGCCCAUAACUGACGCUGAGGCGCGAAAGCGUGGGGAGCAAAC